RNAcentral lists this ribosomal RNA (586 nucleotides) under uncultured bacterium. RNAcentral describes it as "partial 16S ribosomal RNA". It matches the Rfam family "Bacterial small subunit ribosomal RNA", at positions 355 to 933 of the family's 1533-position model. The record is from RNAcentral.
UGGGGAAUUUUGGACAAUGGGGGAAACCCUGAUCCAGCCAUCCCGCGUGUGCGAUGAAGGCCUUCGGGUUGUAAAGCACUUUUGGCAGGAAAGAAACGUCGCGGGUUAAUACCCCGCGAAACUGACGGUACCUGCAGAAUAAGCACCGGCUAACUACGUGCCAGCAGCCGCGGUAAUACGUAGGGUGCAAGCGUUAAUCGGAAUUACUGGGCGUAAAGCGUGCGCAGGCGGUUCGGAAAGAAAGAUGUGAAAUCCCAGAGCUUAACUUUGGAACUGCAUUUUUAACUACCGGGCUAGAGUGUGUCAGAGGGAGGUGGAAUUCCGCGUGUAGCAGUGAAAUGCGUAGAUAUGCGGAGGAACACCGAUGGCGAAGGCAGCCUCCUGGGAUAACACUGACGCUCAUGCACGAAAGCGUGGGGAGCAAACAGGAUUAGAUACCCUGGUAGUCCACGCCCUAAACGAUGUCAACUAGCUGUUGGGGCCUUCGGGCCUUGGUAGCGCAGCUAACGCGUGAAGUUGACCGCCUGGGGAGUACGGUCGCAAGAUUAAAAACUCAAAGGAAUUGACGGGGGUCAUAGCUGUUUCC